RNAcentral lists this ribosomal RNA (304 nucleotides) under uncultured bacterium. Its description in RNAcentral is "partial 16S ribosomal RNA". It matches the Rfam family "Bacterial small subunit ribosomal RNA", at positions 524 to 826 of the family's 1533-position model. The record is from RNAcentral.
UACGAAGGGGGCUAGCGUUGCUCGGAAUCACUGGGCGUAAAGGGCGCGUAGGCGCCAUUCAAGUCGGGGGUGAAAGCCUGUGGCUCAACCACAGAAUUGCCUUCGAUACUGUUGGCUUGAGACCGGAAGAGGUAAGUGGAACUGCGAGUGUAGAGGUGAAAUUCGUAGAUAUUCGCAAGAACACCAGUGGCGAAGGCGGCUUACUGGACCACCCACUGACGCUGAGGCGCGAAAAGCGUGGGGGAGCAAACAGGAUUAAGAAACCCUCGGUACGUCCGAGCACCAAAGUCGUACUCGACGUCAA